This 289-nucleotide ribosomal RNA is filed under the name uncultured bacterium. RNAcentral describes it as "partial 16S ribosomal RNA". It matches the Rfam family "Bacterial small subunit ribosomal RNA", at positions 337 to 628 of the family's 1533-position model. The record is from RNAcentral.
ACCUACGGGGGGCAGCAGUGGGGAAUAUUGCACAAUGGGGGAAACCCUGAUGCAGCGACGCCGCGUGAGUGAAGAAGUAUCUCGGUACGUAAAGCUCGUUCAGCAGGGAAGAAAAAAAGUCUUUGGCUUUGGACGGUACCUGACUAAGAAGCCCCGGCUAACUACGUGCCAGCAGCCGCGGUAAUACGUAGGGGGCAAGCGUUAUCCGGAUUUACUGGGUGUGAAGGGAGCGUAGACGGCAGCGCAAGUCUGGAGUGAAAUGCAGGGGCUCAACCCCGGAACUGCUUUG